Molecule: unclassified non-coding RNA, 2776 nt
Filed under: Monomorium pharaonis (pharaoh ant)
Lineage: Eukaryota; Metazoa; Arthropoda; Insecta; Hymenoptera; Formicidae
Description: leucine-rich melanocyte differentiation-associated protein, transcript variant X6
Source: RNAcentral
AGCGCCAUUAUACACAUCACAUAUGACGUCAUAGUUUGUUCGAUUUUGGCUUCACUUUCUCGAGCAAAUGAUCCUUCCUGUACUCUUUAUUCACUUUAUUCAAUGCUCUCUAAUCCAUGGUAGAAGAGUCUCUUACCCCAUUUUGGUGGAAAGAUUCGAAAAUAGGAUAGAUGUAGGAAAAUUCAGCGAAUAUUCGAACGUUAGUUCGAUUUUGAGGAGUGCGUAACGGAUAGUGAAUCCAGAUGAUAAAAUCAUUUAAGAAAACGCACUAGUUAUGUGACAUCUCGAUAAAAAACAUUUUAAUAUUUAAUAACCAUAACGAAUUAAUGUUGGGUGAUGAGAUAGAACAGUCCUUAAAAGUGGAAGAGGUAGAAGAGUAUGCCAUGACUUGUCUAGGGACGUUAGUAUUUGCGGAUAAACAUUCUCGACAAUCAUUAACUUCGAGUGAUUCAUCUAAAGAGCAAGUUGAUUCCUUAUCACUUGCAUAUGAAGAUCUCUUCAUCAUGCCAUAUAACAUCAUACAUGAUUACUGUCUCAUCAUACAACAUUUAGAUAUCAGUAACAACAUGUUUAGUAGAAACCUGCAGUUUUUAUCGGAGUUUGACAAUUUGAGGUCUGUCAAUUUGGAUCAUAAUAAAAUAGACGAUGUUACUAUAUUUCCAAACAUGCCAAAUCUCGAGCUUCUCUGGUUGAAUCAUAAUUGUAUAAAGAAUUUGUAUCCCUUUAUCAAGAAUCUCCGUAGAAGCGUACCGAAUCUUAAAUACUUAUGCCUUAUGGGAAACGAAGCAGCACCUAGUUAUCUCAAUGGUGGAGAUUUCUGUGAUUAUCUUCGAUAUAGGUUGUAUGUGCUAUCUUGGUUUCCACGUUUAAUGCAUUUGGACGAUAGAAUUGUAACUGACCAGCAACUACUACAGACGAAGAAACUAUUUAGGCGAUCAUUGCUCGAAGAUUUUGUCGCAGUGCCAGAAUGCAUUAAGAAUUUGCACAAUAAGAUAGCCGUGCAUUCCAAACCAUCAGUGUCCGAAAGACAAAAAGUAUUCAGUGGAACAAAUUUGGUCGUAUAAAUAAUAUUAAGGCGCAGAUCAGAAAAUGUUCUAACAACGUUUCUUUGUUGAAGAAAUGAGAUUUAUAAUCUGGGUGACGCUAAGUUCCGCAGAAGACCCGGACAUGAAGGCGCCGUAUGAAAUAGAAAAAUUUACGCACCAUCCAGGGAUAUAUUUUGAAAAGCUAGGAGGAUUACAUCAGGUUGAAUCCUUCUGGAAGGUGGUCAUCAAGAUAGACGUGACGUCACUAUCAAAACGACUCACACAGGUAGAAAAAUACGUACGCAAAACGGAUAAUCUAUGCAAAAUGAUAGCAGUCAUAGGUAAAGAAACAUGCGAAAAUCUACACAGCGUCAUUGCAAAAGGGUGUGAAAGAACUAAUAAACUAAUAGAACGCAUAAACUCAACAUACAAUACAAGAAUACACAGAAGAGGAUUAAUGGACGGGAUAGGGUCAGUCGCAAAAUCAUUGUUUGGUACGAUGGACGCAAACGAUGAAAAAUUAAUUAACGAACAACUAACGGUAUUACACGACUCACAGGAAUUAAACAAACACGCAAUAAAAAACCAAAUAAAAAUAAUGCAAGCCACUAUCGCUCACAUUGAUAACAGUGAAAGAACUAUUCGACAAAACGAAAAUACUCUCGCGGACGCGGCAGACAAACUAAGAACAAAAUUAUUAGAAGAUGAACGCCAAAGUAACCUACACGAAAAUUUUAUAAUAAUUAACGCGGUACUGUCUGAUCUAACACGCGACGCGGAAGACGUAGUAGAAUAUUUAACGUUUUUAAAAGAAGGAAUUCUGCAUCCCCGGUUAACACCCAUUUCAAUAAUAAUAGAAUCACUUAAAGACGCUAGCUCGCAAUUGCCCGAAGGACUCUACUUCCCAUUCAGAAUAAAAGAGAAUGAAUGGUCGACAAUAGAGAAAUUUGCGACAGUAGGCGCAUACUGCGACUAAAUAAACAUAUAUACUAUUUUACGAUUCCCUCUAAUUUCGAUGCCAAAAUACGAAAUACUAAGUGUAAUUCCGUUACCUAUCCCAAGUCAGAACAACAUUUUCUCGUUCGUAGAAAUUAACAAUCCCCUGAUCGCAAUAGACACAGAACAGCGUACUUAUAUAAUCCUCGCAAAGAACGACCUGCGGAAAUGCAUAGAGAUAAAUACCGAAUACCUAUGCGCGGAAAAUCACCCUGUAUAUCGAAUAAACCCAGACUCUAUCUGCGAAAUAAAAAUGUACCUAGAAACUAAAGAUCAUUAUAAAAAUUGUAACAUAAAAAAUACGACGUUGAACCAUAGCCUUUGGAUAGCGCUAAGUAAUUCACACUCGUGGCUAUACUCGUCACCACGAAAACAAGUAAUUACUCUACAUUGUAAAGACCACGGAAAAAUAAAGGAAACAAUUGAAAAAGUAGGCAAAAUUACAUUAAAAAAUAACUGUAAGUUAGUGACAGAAAAUACAAUUAUAAGAUCACCCAAGAUGUCACAUGAGGCAAGAGUAGAAUCAUAUCUACCUCAGUAUAAUAUUUCACUACCACAGAAGCCUGGCUUAGAAAACGAUACAGGCCUCAAGGAAAUAAAAUUAAAAAAUAUUAUACCAAAUCCGACGGAAUUAAAAAAUUCCAAGGAUAAAUUAGAGGAGAUAGACAACGAACUAGAUAAAAAUUCAAGUUCGAUUUUUCAGUCGCCACACUUUAUUUUUCCAAUGGCAACAAGCGGAACAACAAUUGUAAUAA